GAUUUCUGGACUGAAGCAUUUAGCCGGCCGCGGUUUCGCGUGUUAGUGCUGGAUGCUCUGUCCAUCCUUCCAAUCGCUAUUGGCUAUUCUUCAUUGAAUGGUCCGUAGUAUUGGAUCUUUUACUUUGAAAAAAUUAGAGUGUUUCAAGCAGGCUUUAUGCUAUGAAUACAUUAGCAUGGAAUAAUAAUUUAGGACUUCGGUUCUAUUUUGUUGGUUUCUAGGACUGAAGUAAUGAUUGAUAGGGAUAGUUGGGGGUGCUAGUAUUCAGCGGCCAGAGGUGAAAUUCUCGGAUUCGCUGAAGACUAACUUAUGCGAAAGCAUU
RNAcentral lists this ribosomal RNA (322 nucleotides) under uncultured Trinematidae. Its description in RNAcentral is "SSU rRNA". The stretch from base 53 to 322 matches the Rfam family "Eukaryotic small subunit ribosomal RNA", at positions 685 to 955 of the family's 1831-position model. Lineage: Eukaryota; Cercozoa; Imbricatea; Euglyphida; Trinematidae. The record is from RNAcentral.